RNAcentral lists this ribosomal RNA (287 nucleotides) under uncultured bacterium. RNAcentral describes it as "partial 16S ribosomal RNA". It matches the Rfam family "Bacterial small subunit ribosomal RNA", at positions 333 to 637 of the family's 1533-position model. The record is from RNAcentral.
UGUGUCCUACGGGGGGCAGCAGUAGGGAAUAUUGCUCAAUGGGGGAAACCCUGAAGCAGCAACGCCGCGUGGAGGAUGAAGGUUUUCGGAUUGUAAACUCCUUUUGUUAGAGAAGAUAAUGACGGUAUCUAACGAAUAAGCACCGGCUAACUCCGUGCCAGCAGCCGCGGUAAUACGGAGGGUGCAAGCGUUACUCGGAAUCACUGGGCGUAAAGAGAGCGUAGGCGGGAUAGCAAGUCAGAUGUGAAAUCCUAGGGCUUAACCAUAGAAUUGAAUUUGAAACUGUU